GCCGCCCUCCUCGCAAAGAGCAAUCGUAUCCUCGGUUAAGAGAAAAAGCCAAAGGGCGGGAGCACGCGGCCUCAUCAUUUAUCGAUCAAUUUCUAGGGUUUCGUUUCUCUCUCUCAUCAUUCCCUUAAUCAAAAUCUCACGUUUAUCUUGGUAUCUGGUGAGUGCUUUUCUUUUGUUGUUGUUAAUUUAUUUUUGUUUUUCUGAUUUUGUUAUAUAUAUAGAUGUGUGUGUGUGAUCUCCAAGAACUAAUUAUAUUUCAACGUCUUUUUGAUAUUUCUUGGUUUUUUUGCGCGAUUAUUGUUAAUAUUGGCUUUUAUUCUGGAAUCGUGUAUAAAAUUUUUAAUUUUGAUUAGGAAUUAUAAGAGCUACAAUAUCGUUUUUAUUAUUGGAUUUGUUUUUGCUUAGUUAUUCUGGACUUGGAUUCCGAUUCAUAUGCGUAAAAAGCGUUUUCUCUGUGAUCCAAUGUCAUAUUCUUUUACGAGAUAUUAUACUUAUUUUGUUUUUGCAUCUGGUUGAGUAUGGCUCCGUGAAUCGUGGUGCUUCUAAAUCUAUCUUGUAAAGAUUAUUAUUAUUUUAUGUUUGCUUGAAUAUUUGCUAUGUAGUUAUGUCCAGGAAAUAGUUUAUGUUAUUUUCAUGGAAGUUUUCAAUUUUUAUUUCUUCCACAUUUAAUUUUUUCAAUUCUGAUGAUGUUUCCUUUUCACUGAUUUUUUUGUUUACAGGACUGGAUGAUCUAAUGGAGUCAAAAGGUGGGAAGAAAAAGUCUAGUAGUAGUAGUAAAUCAUUAUUCUAUGAAGCUCCCCUUGGUUACAGCAUUGAAGACAUUCGACCAAACGGUGGCAUCAAGAAGUUCCGAUCUGCUGCGUACUCCAACUGCGCUCGCAAACCAUCCUGAUAUCCUCAACUAGGCUGCCUGACCGCAUAAAGUAGUUUAAUAAAUUUAAUUGCUUUAGUUAGUUUUUAGCUGCUUCUGCAACCGAUCUCUUCCUCUCUCCCUCUGCGACUGUGAUUUCCUUACAACUGUGACAUCUUCAACUGUUAUCUUUGUAACGCAUUUUCCUUGCAACUGUCACUGCAUUGGACUGUGGUCUAUUUUGCAUCUUGAAAACACUCUUCACUGUAAUAAUUUCUGAUGGUCAAUAUGGCCAUGGCUGUCUCUGCAAUUGGAUUUGAAGGUUAUGAGAAGAGGCUGGAAAUAUCGUUUUUUGAGCUUGGCAUUUUUGUUGAUCCUGAAGGAAAAGGCUUUCGAUCUCUGUCCAAGUCUCAGUUGGAUGAGAUUCUUGGACCAGCCGAGUGCACUAUUGUUGAUUCACUGUCCAAUGAUCAUGUCGACUCUUACGUACUUUCUGAGUCUAGCCUCUUUGUAUAUCCUUACAAGAUCAUCAUCAAAACCUGUGGGACUACCAAACUGCUCCUUGCAAUCCCACCGAUCUUGAAGCUGGCUGAUACCCUUUCUCUUAAGGUAAAAUCUGUGAGGUAUACUCGUGGGAGCUUCAAUUUCCCUGGAGCUCAGUCAUAUCCUCAUCGCAGUUUCUCUGAAGAAGUUUCUGUCUUGGAUAGUUAUUUUGGGAAGCUAGGUACUGGCAGCAAGGCUUAUAUAAUGGGUGGGAUUGACAGCCCACAGAAAUGGCAUAUGUACUCUGCAUCUGCUGCUGAUUCUACAAUCUCUUGUGACCAUGUUUACACUAUAGAGAUGUGCAUGACUGGUUUGGACCGAGAAAAGGCUUCUGUUUUUUACAAAACCCAGUCGGCUUCUGCAUCUACUAUGACUAUUGAUUCUGGAAUAAGAAAGAUUCUUCCAGACUCGAAGAUAUGUGAUUUUGAUUUUGAUCCAUGUGGUUAUUCAAUGAAUGCUAUUGAAGGAGCGGCUAUUUCUACAAUCCAUGUUACUCCAGAAGAUGGUUUCAGCUAUGCGAGCUUUGAAACAGUAGGAUAUGAUCCAAAAGGUGUGAGUCUGAACCAGGUGAUUGACAGGGUGUUGGUUUGUUUCCAGCCGAGUCAGUUCUCUAUUGCUGUACAUGCCAGUGUUGCAGGUGAACAACUAGCGGAGACUUGUUCACUAGAUGUUAAGGGAUACAGUCGUGGAGAGAGGAGCCUUGAAGAGCUUGGAAUGGGUGGUUCCGUUCUUUACCAGAAAUUUGUUCGAAGUGAGGACUCUGGUUCUCCUAGGUCAACUCUGAAAUGCUGCUGGGAAGAGGAAGAAGAGGAUUAGUUCCAAUUUAUAUUUUCUUUAUGGUUUGUAUCUGUGUUUAAAUAAAAUAAUUGCUUUCAGGCUAUGCCUGAUGACAGCAAUCUUAGUAGUCUUUUCUAUUGUCUUUGAUUUUAUUUGCAUUACCAGAUGUGGCUCUCGACUUCUGAGAUGUGAGAGCUGCAGUAUUCUAAAUGUUUGGCCAUGUAUCCAGACUUGUUUAGUGGAUUUAUUCUAAAUAUGUGUUUUUGGUUUUUGAUUAAAA
Molecule: unclassified non-coding RNA, 2450 nt
Filed under: Hevea brasiliensis (rubber tree)
Lineage: Eukaryota; Viridiplantae; Streptophyta; Magnoliopsida; Malpighiales; Euphorbiaceae
Source: RNAcentral